Scaptodrosophila lebanonensis is the source of this 1020-nucleotide long non-coding RNA. RefSeq lists it as uncharacterized. The record is from RefSeq and is a predicted model, not a curated record. The transcript is spliced from 3 exons. NCBI's taxonomy places the organism in Eukaryota, Metazoa, Arthropoda, Insecta, Diptera, Drosophilidae.
UAAAGUAGUUCUAGUGCACAUUACCUUAGGAACUUAUUGUUUUGUUUUUAUUGUGCAGAAAAUGAUAAAAAAAAGUCAAUGCGCGCGAGGAGGAAAUUUAAUCAUAAAUUGGAAUUGCGGUGCCAUGGGAGCAUUAAGAGUUGGAGCCUAUUCUAAGGAUGAUGCAGCAGUAUAAAUAUUUAGAAAAUAAAUGACAUGCAAUAUUUAAAGGAAAUUGUUUUGCAACAAGUGGGAUCGUCUCAUAUCAGCUUGUUUAAGCUGAACAAACAAAUGGAAUUGCAGAAUCUGUACAAUAAGAAUGAAGGUGGUCAAACAGCCCAAAAAGUGUAGCUUCUUAAUGGAUAUAUUUCCAUUACAAGCUCAACAAAAGAAGAAGGACAUCCAAACAGAUUGAUGCCACAAAAAUUAGUUCAUUCUAUGGCGUGCUUGCUGUGAUGUAGGAUUUUUAAGCUCAUAUUAAGACAGAAAAAGUUUGCAAACUGCAGAGAAAGACGAAUCUUUAACAACUGUAAACACAGUAAACACACACAACAGUAAAGCAAAUCAAUCUAGGUCUAUUCCCAAUGUAUAGGCUGUGAAAAUUAAAUUAUAGAAUCACAAAUUGUCUAACUACAAUGGCGAAAAAUCUAUUCAAAUAAAAAAGCCCUGGACAUGUGGCACACUUUGUAUACUUCAAAUUUUAUGUUGCAGGCGUCCACCAAAUUAACACACCAAUUGCCGUACUCGCCCAAAACCAACAUUGAUUAAAGACGCGCUAACUAUUCAAAAUGCCUUUGCCUCUUCUUUAGUGAAAAAAGAAGCUGUUGCAACAAAUUGCCUGCAUUAAUCAGACAUGGACAAGGAGCAGAAGCUUGUGUCUACCGAUUUGCGGCGACAGCUGCGCAUACUCUAAGCAUGCACAAGAAAUUCCAUUGUAGCACAGUGGUCGGCAAGUUAUUGUAUUUUUAUGACUUUCAUCAAAGUUGUAAUAUUGAUUUAUGCUGCCUCUGUUUGCUAAAAUCGCGGACUCAGAUCAAUAUA